RNAcentral lists this transfer RNA (62 nucleotides) under Marmota marmota marmota (Alpine marmot). It matches the Rfam family "tRNA", at positions 6 to 65 of the family's 71-position model. From Rfam's summary of the family: Transfer RNA (tRNA) molecules are approximately 80 nucleotides in length. Their secondary structure includes four short double-helical elements and three loops (D, anti-codon, and T loops). Further hydrogen bonds mediate the characteristic L-shaped molecular structure. tRNAs have two regions of fundamental functional importance: the anti-codon, which is responsible for specific mRNA codon recognition, and the 3' end, to which the tRNAs corresponding amino acid is attached (by aminoacyl-tRNA synthetases). tRNAs cope with the degeneracy of the genetic code in two manners: having more than one tRNA (with a specific anti-codon) for a particular amino acid; and 'wobble' base-pairing, i.e. permitting non-standard base-pairing at the 3rd anti-codon position. Lineage: Eukaryota; Metazoa; Chordata; Mammalia; Rodentia; Sciuridae. The record is from Rfam by way of RNAcentral. RNAcentral also lists the same sequence under 3 other names.
UGUGGCUCAGUGGUUAGAGUACUUGCCUAAUAAGCACAAGGCCCUGGGUUCAAUUCCUUGCA